Molecule: ribosomal RNA, 125 nt
Filed under: Glomus sp.
Lineage: Eukaryota; Fungi; Glomeromycota; Glomeromycetes; Glomerales; Glomeraceae
Description: partial small subunit ribosomal RNA
Rfam family: Eukaryotic small subunit ribosomal RNA
Source: RNAcentral
CCUUUGUACACACCGCCCGUCGCUACUACCGAUUGAAUGGCUUAGUGAGACCUUUGGAUCGUUAGUUUAGAACUGUAAAAGGUUUUUUUCCGAUGAGAAGUUGGUCAAACUUGGUCAUUUAGAGG